AGACCCGAAACCCGGUGAUCUAGCCAUGGGCAGGUUGAAGGUUGGGUAACACUAACUGGAGGACCGAACCGACUAAUGUUGAAAAAUUAGCGGAUGACCUGUGGCUGGGGGUGAAAGGCCAAUCAAACCGGGAGAUAGCUGGUUCUCCCCGAAAGCUAUUUAGGUAGCGCCUCGUGAAUUCAUCUCCGGGGGUAGAGCACUGUUUCGGCUAGGGGGCCAUCCCGGCUUACCAACCCGAUGCAAACUGCGAAUACCGGAGAAUGUUAUCACGGGAGACACACGGCGGGUGCUAACGUCCGUCGUGAAGAGGGAAACAACCCAGACCGCCAGCUAAGGUCCCAAAGUCAUAGUUAAGUGGGAAACGAUGUGGGAAGGCCCAGACAGCCAGGAUGUUGGCUUAGAAGCAGCCAUCAUUUAAAGAAAGCGUAAUAGCUCACUGGUCGAGUCGGCCUGCGCGGAAGAUGUAACGGGGCUAAACUAUGCACCGAAGCUGCGGCAGCGACACUAUGUGUUGUUGGGUAGGGGAGCGUUCUGUAAGCCUGUGAAGGUGUGUCGUGAGGCAUGCUGGAGGUAUCAGAAGUGCGAAUGCUGACAUAAGUAACGAUAAAGCGGGUGAAAAGCCCGCUCGCCGGAAGACCAAGGGUUCCUGUCCAACGUUAAUCGGGGCAGGGUGAGUCGACCCCUAAGGCGAGGCCGAAAGGCGUAGUCGAUGGGAAACGGGUUAAUAUUCCCGUACUUGGUGUUACUGCGAAGGGGGGACGGAGAAGGCUAUGUUGGCCGGGCGACGGUUGUCCCGGUUUAAGCGUGUAGGUGUGUGUUCCAGGUAAAUCCGGUUCACUUUAACACUGAGGCGUGAUGACGAGGCACUACGGUGCUGAAGCAACAAAUGCCCUGCUUCCAGGAAAAGCCUCUAAGCAUCAGGUAACAUCAAAUCGUACCCCAAACCGACACAGGUGGUCAGGUAGAGAAUACCAAGGCGCUUGAGAGAACUCGGGUGAAGGAACUAGGCAAAAUGGUGCCGUAACUUCGGGAGAAGGCACGCUGACACGUAGGUGAAGUGAUUUACUCAUGGAGCUGAAGUCAGUCGAAGAUACCAGCUGGCUGCAACUGUUUAUUAAAAACACAGCACUGUGCAAACACGAAAGUGGACGUAUACGGUGUGACGCCUGCCCGGUGCCGGAAGGUUAAUUGAUGGGGUCAGCGCAAGCGAAGCUCCUGAUCGAAGCCCCGGUAAACGGCGGCCGUAACUAUAACGGUCCUAAGGUAGCGAAAUUCCUUGUCGGGUAAGUUCCGACCUGCACGAAUGGCGUAAUGAUGGCCAGGCUGUCUCCACCCGAGACUCAGUGAAAUUGAACUCGCUGUGAAGAUGCAGUGUACCCGCGGCAAGACGGAAAGACCCCGUGAACCUUUACUAUAGCUUGACACUGAACAUUGAGCCUUGAUGUGUAG
RNAcentral lists this ribosomal RNA (1449 nucleotides) under Salmonella enterica. RNAcentral's name for it is "partial 23S ribosomal RNA". It matches the Rfam family "Bacterial large subunit ribosomal RNA", at positions 711 to 2141 of the family's 2925-position model. The record is from RNAcentral. RNAcentral also lists the same sequence under 1 other name. Lineage: Bacteria; Pseudomonadati; Pseudomonadota; Gammaproteobacteria; Enterobacterales; Enterobacteriaceae.